This 73-nucleotide transfer RNA is filed under the name Otolemur garnettii (small-eared galago). It matches the Rfam family "tRNA". Rfam says of the family: Transfer RNA (tRNA) molecules are approximately 80 nucleotides in length. Lineage: Eukaryota; Metazoa; Chordata; Mammalia; Primates; Galagidae. The record is from Rfam by way of RNAcentral.
GUGCCUGUAGCUCAGUGGGUAGGGCACUGGCCCCAUAAACCCAGGCUGGCAGGUUCAAAUCCUGCCCGGCCCA